UGGAACUCCAAAAGGACAAAACUUGACCCCACGUGGCAUUCAUUUUCAGACAUAUACUAAUAAGUAAACCCUUGAAGUUUAUGCCAGCUGCAGGAGUACAGGAUUUUUUCCCAUGCUUUCUGUGAUUCAGCAUAUUCUUUACAGCCUUUCUACCCACUGCAAGAUAGCUCUACUUACUUGCACCUUCCAAGAUGAAUCCAGGUCCCCAAUGGUCAGGGCUGGCAGGAUCAGAAGGAAAGAUGAUCUGAAAGUACUGGCAAGACACUCUGAAGGACUAGGUUAUAAUCAGAUGAGAAAACGUGGGCAUAACUAACCAAUGACAUUCACAUGUCCAUACUGGCACAUUUCCAUGGCGGAUGUGUGAGUGUGUCACUACAUCUGGAUACUGAGCAUGCUGGGGUCCCGAGGCACCGCAGACCUACUGAAACCAGAGGGACAGCAGCUGCACUCAAUGAACACCAUGGGAGCUCCACAAAGUGAUGAAAGGCCUA
Alligator mississippiensis (American alligator) is the source of this 491-nucleotide long non-coding RNA. RefSeq lists it as uncharacterized. The record is from RefSeq and is a predicted model, not a curated record. NCBI's taxonomy places the organism in Eukaryota, Metazoa, Chordata, Crocodylia, Alligatoridae. The transcript is spliced from 3 exons.